GGGGAGUGUCGUGAAACCUGUCCAGAGGGCUAUUUAUAUUCCUCGAAGGGAACAUGUGAUCCCUGCCCUCCAAACUGCACUGUGUGUACUUCUACAGGCCACUGUCUCCACUGCACCCCCUCUUACUACCCUAAAGAAGGAUGAAGCAGCUGACUGAUCAUGAAGACUGUGUAACCUUGUGAGGAGGGCUGUCAGCAAUGCCUCACUGGCUGAAAUUGAGCUGACACAAGAUGUGCCCUGAGAGGACUUUGGAGGACAAGUUGUCCACGAGGUGUGCUCGAUGUAAGGAAGACUUGUUCCUGUCAGGUCAGGGUGAGUGUGAGCAGUGUGAUUCCUCCUGAAGGACAUGUUCAGGGCAUCGGGAAGACCAGUCUGAUUCCUGUCGGGAAGUUCCUCUGUGGACGUCUCCAGCAGAUCAUGUCAAGAGUGUGACCACACAUGUAAGGAAUGCUCAGGAAGCAGCCGUUUCUGUCUCAACUGUAGAGAUGGAUACUCUCUGUUGAGAAAGUUGCAGUACUAGCUCCGUUUAGAAUGUUCUUCAAUGGGAUGAGUGCAGUUCUGUUUAUUAACUGCUAGAGCGGUCUUAAAUUGUGUUUUCUGAAGAUAAAAUAAGCUUUUACGGGAUUGGAACGACGGGGGGUAAGUUAUUCAUGACUAAAUUUUCAUUUUGGAAUGGAGUAUUCCUUUAAUUUUGUUUUGUCACUCCUUUUCUUUAAAAAAGGAAAGUGGAUGCAUUAAGUCUGUAAAUGUUUAAAUACUCAGUGUUUCAAUAGUACAGCAGUAGUUACUUAGCAAUAUUAAAAAAAUUUAAGUUUGCUGUUAAACAGCUUCAUCUUUCUGCUUUGAACGCUUUCAAAAAUUGUCCCCAUUCACUUCCAUUGUAAGUUCUUUUUAUCGUAACUUUGAGAAAGUAGUUUUUCAUGUUUAAACAUUUUAAAUCCAUGUUAGACAGUCUUUAGUACAAUCAGAGUGCAGAUGAUGUGAUUUGUGUACCUCGGCGGGAUUUAUCUGGUCUGUCAUGUGAUCGGCAGGCCCUGGUGUGAUCUCCUUAACGUCAUGUUUUGACAGUUUCAGAUGUUUGGAGGAAUCUGCUCAUCUACGCGUCUAAAUGGGGAAUAUCUCAUCCGUGUGAAUAUGUCACAUGUGGCCCAUGUGACCCAUGCUGUAAUGAAUGUAGAGGUCCGGGACCACACGGCGCCUCACAGAGUAAUGACAGCAUGCCAUCAAUGCCUGAACCGGCCAUGUAAGGUUCACACAAUGCAGUAUCUUUCGAUAACACUGACUCAAAGCGGGACAUGUUACUAAAUUAUGGUUUAUACAGUUUUAAACAUUGUACAUUUUGAAAAUGUGAUUUUUUUAUUUUUUUUACUUUCAGUGUGAAGCCAUUGACUUUUAACCUCUCGUUUCUCAGAUGAAUGCAUUGUUGCACUGAGCUACAGCCUCAUCAGCAAUGAUCCAGUGACUUCAGUUUAUCCAGGUCUUUUUGUUUUACCUGUAAUAUUUGUGCUGGUGAGCUUGUUGCUUGCCAUUUUUCUCCUCCUGCAUUUUCAGCAGAUCACUUUAAAGCACGCCACGGCUCAAAUAGAACGGCUACACCAAAAUCACCUCUGAGACACCUCAGCGACAGCAUGCAGGAAGAGUAUUGUCAUAAAGACGCAGGCCAAGAGGUACUCUAGGACAUUGUGUACAUGGGGAGGGACAGGAUGGUUGGAUGGAGAUGAGGAGGUGGAGCUGGAAUAUGAUGAUAUGUAUACUCUCGCAUAAAACACAACAAGCCUGUUUAUUCUUUGAGAUAUGCAUAUCAAUACUUUAUUUAUUAUCAUUUUGACAUGCAGAAACCCACUAAUCCUCACCAGUCAACCAUUAAAGAAAUAGUUCUCCCAAGAUAUCACAGUUCUGUCAUAUUUACUCACCGUGAUGUUGUUCUAAACCCAUAUGAUUCGAUUUCUUCUGUUGAACACAAAAGAUGAUAUUCAGCAAAAUGUCCAAGUUGCUCUUUUACAUACAAUAAAUGGUUACCAUGAA
Carassius gibelio (silver crucian carp) is the source of this 2025-nucleotide long non-coding RNA. RefSeq lists it as uncharacterized. The transcript has 6 exons. The record is from RefSeq and is a predicted model, not a curated record. Lineage: Eukaryota; Metazoa; Chordata; Actinopteri; Cypriniformes; Cyprinidae.